Pyrus x bretschneideri (Chinese white pear) is the source of this 911-nucleotide long non-coding RNA. RefSeq lists it as uncharacterized. NCBI's taxonomy places the organism in Eukaryota, Viridiplantae, Streptophyta, Magnoliopsida, Rosales, Rosaceae. The record is from RefSeq and is a predicted model, not a curated record. The transcript has 2 exons.
UUCAAUUUUGACUAAAAAAAUAUCUUUACUAAUAUCUCUUUAUUCAGCAAUCGGACAAAGAGCAAAAAAAAUAUAUAUAUAUAUAUCCCCCCAGAAAACCCAACAUGCAUCAAGAAGGCAACACGUAUUGGAAAUUGGUAAUUCCCAACACAGACACGACAUUGCAGAAGGUGGAAGGAAGAGAACAGAAGGCAUCGAAAAGCUUCGAUGGUUUCGGAGACGUGGAGGCUUGCGUUGCAGCUUCAACGUUGUACCGUUGAUCUCGGUUGACACGUACAAACCCGCAGAUCCAGCCCCCCACGUCACUGCUUCUGGUUUGAAAUUCAGAUGGGGAACUUGGAAAAGAUGCGCUGCUUUCCUGGUAAGAGGGGAACUCAAGGACUUGAGCAGGGUGGCUCAGAGUGAACGCCGCAAUUGUUGCUGAAAGUAUGAAGUUGGAGUAGUCGGUGGUUUCGAAAUUGAUGAGUAUCGUACAAACACUAAGGUUCGAAGAAAUUAUAAGCUACUUUAACUUGUAGAUCGAACGCAAGAAAGCGCCAGACAAAGGGUGCAAGAAAAACGUGACACAACUUAGACAACUCAAAUUGAAGGACGUUCGCAUUUUACUAGAGCAUCCGAAGGAUUAUAUAACUCGCUAGAUUCGUUUUAAACCAAAUGCAAGAAGGGCCAUAUUUAAAUUUUGUCAGCGUUGAAAGAAACAGAUGGACAGCUUCGAAAGUGUUAAUAUCUUGUCAUUUUAGAAGGUCUAGGUUUUGCUAAUCACAAAUAUACUAGCAGAGUGUUGUUAUUUACACUUCAUCGUAAUCAUUAUGCACUCCUCGUUAAUAAUGAAAUUAGAAAAGAAAAAGAAAAAAGGAGUGCAUGAUGAUUAUUUUAAUGGAACUUUAAUGAAAAACUCCCAGUAAUGUUUA